Molecule: ribosomal RNA, 475 nt
Filed under: uncultured organism
Description: eukaryotic LSU rRNA
Rfam family: 5.8S ribosomal RNA (bases 56-209)
Source: RNAcentral
AAUAGUAUGAUGCAGAAUGUAGUCAAUGGGCUUCUCAGCCUAUAAAACACUAUACAACUUUCAGCAACGGAUCUCUUGGCUCUCGCAUCGACGAAGAACGCAGCGAAAUGCGAUAAGUAAUGUGAAUUGCAGAAUUCAGUGAAUCAUCGAAUCUUUGAACGCACCUUGCGCUCCUUGGUAUUCCGAGGAGCAUGCCUGUUUGAGUGUCAUUAAAUUCUCAACCUCACCAGUUUUCUGAACUGUUCUUCGAGGCUUGGAUGUGGGGGUUUGUGCAGGCUGCCUCACGGCGGUCUGCUCCCCUGAAAUGCAUUAGCGAGUUCAUACUGAACUUCCGUCUAUUGGUGUGAUAAUUAUCUACGCCGUGGACGAGGAUCAGACUCGCUUCUAACCGUCCGCGAGGACAAUACCCUGACAAUUUGACCUCAAAUCAGGUAGGACUACCCGCUGAACUUAAGCAUAUCAAUAAGCGGAGGAA